GAUGAACGCUGGCGGCGUGCCUAAUACAUGCAAGUCGAGCGAACGGACGAGGAGCUUGCUCCUCUGACGUUAGCGGCGGACGGGUGAGUAACACGUGGAUAACCUACCUAUAAGACUGGGAUAACUUCGGGAAACCGGAGCUAAUACCGGAUAAUAUAUUGAACCGCAUGGUUCAAUAGUGAAAGACGGUUUUGCUGUCACUUAUAGAUGGAUCCGCGCCGCAUUAGCUAGUUGGUAAGGUAACGGCUUACCAAGGCAACGAUGCGUAGCCGACCUGAGAGGGUGAUCGGCCACACUGGAACUGAGACACGGUCCAGACUCCUACGGGAGGCAGCAGUAGGGAAUCUUCCGCAAUGGGCGAAAGCUUGACGGAGCAACGCCGCGUGAGUGAUGAAGGUCUUCGGAUCGUAAAACUCUGUUAUUAGGGAAGAACAAAUGUGUAAGUAACUAUGCACGUCUUGACGGUACCUAAUCAGAAAGCCACGGCUAACUACGU
Molecule: ribosomal RNA, 496 nt
Filed under: uncultured bacterium
Lineage: Bacteria
Description: partial 16S ribosomal RNA
Rfam family: Bacterial small subunit ribosomal RNA
Source: RNAcentral